AAACCAUGCAUCGGGCAUUUUCUAUGUAAUUCUUUGAAUCUCUCCCAAGCUUCAUACUAGGAUUGUUGAAAAUAUGUAAUAUCAUUCUUUAACUU
Non-coding RNA from Gossypium raimondii (Peruvian cotton), 95 nucleotides. Lineage: Eukaryota; Viridiplantae; Streptophyta; Magnoliopsida; Malvales; Malvaceae. The record is from Rfam.